RNAcentral lists this long non-coding RNA (775 nucleotides) under Rattus norvegicus (Norway rat). RNAcentral describes it as "long non-coding RNA NONRATT029639". Lineage: Eukaryota; Metazoa; Chordata; Mammalia; Rodentia; Muridae. The record is from RNAcentral.
AAAUCAAAGCAUAGAAAACAUCUCAUUGUGGAAAGCUGAAUGUAGUAUGUCAGUGUGUCCUAGAGUAUGUCCCUCUGUCCCCACCUGUUCACUUGCACAAAUGUUCAUUGCAAUGAGUCAUUACAAGUCUGGUUCAAGAUCUUUGGCUUCUGUGACACCAUCAAUAUUAGAUCCUCAUCAGGACUCCUCCUGGUUAUUCUGUUGUUGUCUGAUGUCAUGGGGAUCCUGCAGCUUUGGAACAGCAGGACUGGCACUUACACAUGUCAACUACUUUCAGAUGAUAUAGAUUUUGGGGUGGGACAAUUCAGAAUCCCAGAUCUGGGCCUGGGUGGUAGCAGAGCUGGUCAGCCCGCCACUGGCUGUCCCUUAUCCGCACCACCAGGGCCAGCUCACCUGCACUUACAUCUCCAGAGCCAGCUCCUCUGUGCUGCCCAGUCAAGGUGUGGGAGCCACUCUCCCAAGUGCUGCUGUCUGUGAGGGGCUGGGCCAGCUCUCCUGCUCUCUCACCCUUGGGGCUGUCUCACCAUGCCUUUGUCAGCAGAGUUGGCUCCACUUUUUAUUUUCUCCUAUUUUUAUAUAAAAAGGACAGUAGUCCUUUUUAAAAAAAUGCACUUUACAAUUGAAAAAUUUAUUUAGAGUGUGUGAAUAGGUGUGUGUGCCAUGCACAUGUGUGUAGGUCAGAGAACACCUUGACAGUGAGCACCUUUCCUUGCUAAGACAUCUCACUGACCCCACAAUUACCUUUCAAAGACCCACUCUUUAAAUACAAAUACAA